CGGGGUAUAGCGCAGCCUGGUAGCGCACGCCCUUGGGGUGGGCGAGGUCGCAGGUUCAAAUCCUGUUACUCCGA
Molecule: transfer RNA, 74 nt
Filed under: Paenibacillus agri
Lineage: Bacteria; Bacillati; Bacillota; Bacilli; Caryophanales; Paenibacillaceae
Also listed under: 4 other names
Rfam family: tRNA
About the family: Transfer RNA (tRNA) molecules are approximately 80 nucleotides in length. Their secondary structure includes four short double-helical elements and three loops (D, anti-codon, and T loops). Further hydrogen bonds mediate the characteristic L-shaped molecular structure. tRNAs have two regions of fundamental functional importance: the anti-codon, which is responsible for specific mRNA codon recognition, and the 3' end, to which the tRNAs corresponding amino acid is attached (by aminoacyl-tRNA synthetases). tRNAs cope with the degeneracy of the genetic code in two manners: having more than one tRNA (with a specific anti-codon) for a particular amino acid; and 'wobble' base-pairing, i.e. permitting non-standard base-pairing at the 3rd anti-codon position.
Source: Rfam by way of RNAcentral